UACAUGGGGUGCAAACGUUAAUCGGAAUUACUGGGCGUAAAGCGUGCGCAGGCGGUUAUUUAAGUCAGGUGUGAAAGCCCUGGGCUUAACCUAGGAAUUGCGCUUGAGACUGGAUAGCUUGGAGUGCGGCAGAGGGAGGUGGAAUUCCACGUGUAGCAGUGAAAUGCGUAGAGAUGUGGAGGAACACCGAUGGCGAAGGCAGCCUCCUGGGCCAGCACUGACGCUCAUGCACGAAAGCGUGGGGAGCAAACAGG
RNAcentral lists this ribosomal RNA (254 nucleotides) under uncultured bacterium. Its description in RNAcentral is "partial 16S ribosomal RNA". It matches the Rfam family "Bacterial small subunit ribosomal RNA", at positions 524 to 776 of the family's 1533-position model. The record is from RNAcentral.